Molecule: ribosomal RNA, 531 nt
Filed under: uncultured Geobacteraceae bacterium
Lineage: Bacteria; Pseudomonadati; Thermodesulfobacteriota; Desulfuromonadia; Geobacterales; Geobacteraceae
Description: bacterial SSU rRNA
Rfam family: Bacterial small subunit ribosomal RNA
Source: RNAcentral
GAGUUUGAUCCUGGCUCAGGACGAAUGCUGGCGGCGCGCUUAAUGCAUGCAAGUCGAACGGUUCUUCCCGCAAGGGAAGGAUAGUGGCGAACGGCUGAGUAACGCGUAAGUAACCUAUCCUCGGGCGGGGAAUAAUCUACCGAAAGGUGGACUAAUACCGCAUAUGGUGUCCUGUCACAAGGCAGGCCAGCAAAGGUCUCUCGCAAGAGGGGCCGCCGGGGGAUGGACUUGCGUCCUAUCAGGUAGUUGGUGGGGUAACGGCCUACCAAGCCGAUGACGGGUAGCUGGUCUGARAGGACGACCAGCCAGAGGGGGACUGCAACACGGCCCCCACUCCUACGGGAGGCAGCAGCAGGGAAUCUUGCGCAAUGGGCGAAAGCCUGACGCAGCGACGCCGCGUGGGGGAAGAAGGCCUUCGGGUUGUAAAGCUCUGUCAGAGGGRAAGAAAUGGAAACGGUUAAUACCCGUUUUCCUUGACGGUACCCUCAAAGGAAGCACCGGCUAACUCCGUGCCAGCAGCCGCGGUAAUAC